This 433-nucleotide ribosomal RNA is filed under the name uncultured bacterium. Its description in RNAcentral is "partial 16S ribosomal RNA". It matches the Rfam family "Bacterial small subunit ribosomal RNA", at positions 29 to 507 of the family's 1533-position model. The record is from RNAcentral.
AACGAACGCUGGCGGCAUGCCUAACACAUGCAAGUCGAACGAGACCUUCGGGUCUAGUUGCGCACGGGUGCGUAACGCGUGGGAACCUGCCCUUAGGUUGGGAAUAACUCCCCGAAAGGGGUGCUAAUACCGGAUAAUGUCUUCGGACCAAAGAUUUAUCGGCUUUGGAUGGGCCCGCGUUGGAUUAGCUAGUUGGUAGGGUAAAAGCCUACCAAGGCGACGAUCCAUAGCUGGUCUGAGAGGACGAUCCGCCACACUGGGACUGAGACACGGCCCAGACUCCUACGGGAGGCAGAAGUGGGGAAUAUUGGACAAUGGGCGAAAGACUGAUCCAGCAAUGCCGCGUGAGUGAUGAAGGACUUAGGGUUGUAAAGCUCUUUUACCCGGGAUGAUAAUGACAGUACCGGGAGAAUAAGCUCCGGCUAACUACGUG